UACGUAGGGGGCAAGCGUUAUCCGGAUUUACUGGGUGUAAAGGGGGCGCAAACGGCGAUGCAAGCCAGGAGUGAAAGCCCGGGGCCCAACCCCGGGACUGCUCUUGGAACUGCGUGGCUGGAGUGCAGGAGGGGCAGGCGGAAUUCCUAGUGUAGCGGUGAAAUGCGUAGAUAUUAGGAGGAACACCAGUGGCGAAGGCGGCCUGCUGGACUGCAACUGACGUUGAGGCUCGAGGGCGUGGGGAGCAAACAGG
RNAcentral lists this ribosomal RNA (253 nucleotides) under uncultured bacterium. Its description in RNAcentral is "partial 16S ribosomal RNA". It matches the Rfam family "Bacterial small subunit ribosomal RNA", at positions 524 to 776 of the family's 1533-position model. The record is from RNAcentral.